Molecule: ribosomal RNA, 429 nt
Filed under: Pseudomonadota bacterium
Lineage: Bacteria; Pseudomonadati; Pseudomonadota
Description: Proteobacteria bacterium partial 16S ribosomal RNA
Rfam family: Bacterial small subunit ribosomal RNA
Source: RNAcentral
UGGGGAAUAUUGGACAAUGGGCGAAAGCCUGAUCCAGCCAUGCCGCGUGUGUGAAGAAGGUCUUCGGAUUGUAAAGCACUUUAAGUUGGGAGGAAGGGCAGUAAGCGAAUACCUUGCUGUUUUGACGUUACCGACAGAAUAAGCCCCGGCUAACUCUGUGCCAGCAGCCGCGGUAAUACAGAGGGUGCAAGCGUUAAUCGGAAUUACUGGGCGUAAAGCGCGCGUAGGUGGUUCGUUAAGUUGAAUGUGAAAGCCCCGGGCUCAACCUGGGAACUGCAUCCAAAACUGGCGAGCUAGAGUACGGCAGAGGGUGGUGGAAUUUCCUGUGUAGCGGUGAAAUGCGUAGAUAUCGGAAGGAACACCAGAGGCGAAGGCGACCACCUGGGCUCAUACUGACACUGAGGUGCGAAAGCGUGGGGAGCAAACAGG